GCACUCCACCAGUCAGGCAUUUAUGGUAGAGUGGCCAGACAGAAGCCACUCCUCAGUAAAAAGCACGACAGCCCACUUGGACUUUGCUAGAAGGCACCUGAAGGACUUACAGACCAGGAGAAACAAAAUUCUCUGGACUGAUGAAACGAAGAUCGAACUCUUAGGCCUGAAUGCCAAGCUUCAUGUCUGGAAGAAACCAGGCACCGCUCACCACCUCGCCAAUACCAUCCCUACAGUGAAGCAUGGUGGUGGCAGCAUCAUGCUGUGGGGAUGUUUUUCAGCAGCAGGAACUGGGAGACUUGUCAGGAUCGAGGGAAAAAAUGAAUGCAGCUAAGUACAUCGAAAUACUUGAUAAAAACCUGCUCCAGAGCGCUCGAGACCUUCGACUGGGGCGGCGCUUCAUCUUCCAGCAUGACAAUCACCCUAAGCACACGACCAAGAAGACAAAGGAGUGGCUACAGGACAAGUCGCUGAAUGUCCUUGAGUGGCCCAGCUAGAGCCAGACUUGAACCCGAUUGAACAUCUUUGGCAAGACCUGAAAGUAGCUGUGCACCGACGCUGCCCAUCCAACCUCACUGAGCUUGAGAGGAUGUGCAAGGAAGAAUGGGGAAAAACUCCCCAAAUCCAGGUGUGCCAAGCUUGUUGCAUCAUACACAAGAAGACUGGAGGCUGUAAUCACUGCCAAAGGUGCUUCGACCAAGUAUUGGGUAAAGGGUGUGAAUACUUAUGUAUAUGCAACAUUUGAGUGUUCUUAUUUUUAAUAAAUUUGCAAAAUGCUCUGAAAAAAGUUUUUUGCUUUGUCAUUAUGGGGUAUUUUGUGUAGAAUUUUUGAGGGAAAAAGGGAAUUUAAUCCAUCUUGGAAAAAGGCUGCAACAUAACAAAAUGUGGAAAAAGUGAAGUGGUAUGAAUACUUUCCGGAUGCACUGUAUGAUCGACUGACAUUCAUUGGACACAACAACACAACAAAAAAGGAUGUUCUGGCCGCUGCAAAUGCUUCAAGUUUGGACUUAGCUGCACACCCCUCUGUGGUUGUACUUGUUAGUGCAUGUAAGAAUGUAGACACAAAGAAGACACAGGAGGCCUACCACUAGCCAAGCCGCCAUUGUAAAUAAGAAUUUGUUCCUAAGUAAAAACACACAUAUAUACUGUAAAUAUAUAUAAAAGGGAAAAAAACACAAAAAAGCACAAAAAAACAAACAAACACAAACAAAAAAACCAUCCACCUAGGGCCCAGUCAUUACUCACAUGGACAGCCCAAGUGGGAACAAAGUGUAUCCCACGAACUUUCCAUAUAGGAAGCCCACCUUGAAACAUAUGUGGGUCAUGACUGGGUGUGCUGGUCUGGGACCUGGUACCUAUGGCACUAAAAUGCAAACAAAUCACUUUAAAUGUGUCAUCAUAAAUUGAUUCUAUCUAUGGAAAAAAAUACAACUAUGUGCUGCAUGCUCUUAUGGCUUAACCGUGAACAGCAGUAUAUUUCUGCUAUUUAUCGGCAGCCAUAUUGGAAAUUUGCCACCAUAUUGGAACCUAAUAUCUUAUGUUUAAUUGGAAUAAAUACCUAAAAUAUUAUAAUAAAUUAAAAUGAGGGUAUGUGUAAGUUUCAUAGCUGCAAUAAACUGAUACAGUCCAAAAUGUUGACCUGGUGACAGCCAUUUCUAAAAGCUCGCGGGCAUCAUGAAAAAUGGUGCCGCCCAGGUGGCCAGAGGUUAUAUUAUGAUUAGUAGUGGUAUAAAGGAUAUCUGUACCAAAUUUCAUGCUUGUAUCACCAUCUGCACUAUCGCCUCAAAAAUCUGCAUAUUCCCGCUAGACUAAUAGUGUUGGAUACAUUCAGCUGCAGAUCAAUUUAAAUUUUGUUGCUUCCUCAUUUCAUAUUUGUAAGUUCUGCUAUUUGAUUUAGCGACACUAAGAACAAGAUGUGUGAGGAAAUCUGUAUAUGAGAAGUUCAGCUGAAAUUAAAGAUUAGAUUAGCUGAAUCAUUCCUUAAAACUGGAGCCCCUGGCCUUGCAUUAGUCAACAAUCCCCAAUGCAUUAUUUUGUUGGUUAAACUUGUAAUUAAAUUAUGAAUCAUAAGCACCACACAGACCCAGCGAGUAAAUCAUGUAACAGGUAUAAUAUGUAUAUUGUGUACAACCCAAAUUUCCAAAACAGCUAGAAUUCAUUGUAAAAUGUUGAUAAAAACAAUUUGACAGUUUAUCAUCGAAUUGUUUUAACUGCAUUUAAUUGGAAAUAUUGUGAUGACAACAUGUCAAGUCUCGAAACUAAACAUUUUCCUUUCGCUUUAAUAAAUGUAUUUACUAAUUUUCAAUUUGAUGCCAGCAGUCCCCAAAAAAAGUUUGGACAACCGUGUUCACCAUUGGGUUGAAUCACAUCUUCUUUCAGCGUUCUUCUUUGUGAACUAGACGGACUGGCGUUUGGAGAGUGUCCUAUUCUUGCCUGAUGCAGGAUAUCAGUUGCACAACAGUUUGGCAUUUCUUUUGCCAUAUUUUUCAUAUAAUGUUACUCUUAAAGUUUUUGAUGGGUGACAGACAGGACUGCAGGCAGGUUAGUUUAUCAGCAGGACUCUUCUACUACAGAGCCGUGCUGUUGUAAUCCCUGUAGAAUGUGGUUUGUUGUUGUUUUGCUGAAAUACGAAGGUCUUCCCUGAAAAAGUCUUCAUCUGGAUGGCAGCAGGUGUUGUUCCUAAACCUGAAGAUAUUGUUCAGCAUUAACGGAGCCUUCACAGAUAUGGGAGACACCCAUGACAUGGACUUUGAUGAUCCCCAUACCAUCAGGGAUGCUGGCUUUUGAACUUCACACCUUUAGGAUGCAAUGUUCAGGAUUUCCAUACAGGUUGCUAAGUUUUGAUUAGUCAGAAUAGACAACAGUUUUCCUCCCUCCCCAUUCAGGCCAUCCUGAAUGGGUUAAGGCCCAGAAAGGUUGCGUGCAGUUUGGGAUCAUGUCUAAAUAUGGCGUCCUCUUUGCAUGGGGCAGUUUUAACCUGCAUAUGUGGAAGCAGUGACAAGUUGUGUUUGCACACAACGGUUUUUCGAAGUGAUUCUGAGCCCAUGUCAUGUCUGUUUUUGAGACAAUGCAAUCUCAGGGUCCUAAGGUCACAUUCAUUCGGUGUUAGUUUUCAGUGCUGUCCCUUUUGUACAGAAUUUUUUCUAGUUUCUCAGGAUCUUCAAAUGAUAUAAUUUAUUUUAUGAUGCCAUUUUACAAUAUGUAACAUUCUGACAAAAUUGAAUAAUGUACUCACACAGGAUCUUGGAGAGUGGGGAACCUCUUCUUAACUAUUCUCUGAAAGGCUCACCCUCUCUGGACUGUCCUUUUUGAUCCUAAUUUCCUCACCAUCCUGUCGCAGCUCAACACAAUUAAUGGGUAGAUGUUUCUUUCGUAUUUUUUCAUAUUACACAACUUUGUCACCAUUAUAGCCAAACCUUUUUGAAAUGUGAUGCUAAUAUCAAAUUUAAAAAGAGCAUACAUUUUACUUAAUUCACUUUCAAUGUCUGAAAGGCCAUCUUUGCACAUUUUUAAUAAAAUAUAAGGUUGAAAUGGUAUGCCAUCCAUAAAAAUCCUCUUUGGUUAUAUUUUACACAGUGUCCCAACUUUUUUUUGCAGUUCAGGCUGUUGUCGUUAGGGUUUUAAGGAAUGAUUUACAUGAACGUAUUGGCAAAGUUUUGGAUAUUAAACUUGAAAAUUUUUUAGCCCCUGUCCACAGUCUACCUGAACUAAAAGCUGUACAAGGUAAGAGGCUGCUGAGUACUCAUUAUUACAUAAUAGAAAAUUGAUAAUAUCAUUACAAGGGGCUGUCUCAGACUUAAGAAAGAUAUUAUCACAUAUUCAUGGUAUAAAAAGCCUGAAUAUCUGUUUUGCUGUAACAAAAAAAUUGAAUGUAGCUCCCAACCAAGGGUUAUAAUACAAAAUACAUUAAUUUAAGAUAAGUAACUAGUUUAAACACUAUACACAAAGUCUUGUCAUUUUUUUUUUCAUUAUCAUAUUAGGGUUUCCCUCUUUAAAAAAACAAAAAAACAUGGAGAAGCAGCAUUCUGCUUCUAUGGGCCGACAGCAUGGAACAAACUCCCAGUUUACAUAAGACAGGCAACCUCUGUUGAUAACUUUAAAACACACCUUAAGACCUAUUUCUUCACUCUUGCUUUUAUUUGAUCAUGUCCGCACUAUUUGCUAUUAUUAUGAUGUUGUUUUAUGUUUCUGUAUUUAUUGUCUGCUUAUUUUUAUUUAUUUUUAUUUUUUUAAUUGCUUAUUUUAUUGUUUUUAUUGUUAAUUUUAUUGUUUUAUUGCCAAUCAUCUACCCCGUCUGUAAAGCACUCGUGCUUUGUUUUUAACCUGUAAAGCACUUUGAGCUGCAUCUCAUGUCAUGAAAGGUGCUAUACAAAUAAAGUUUAUUAUUAUUAUUAUUAUUAUUAUUAUUAUU
Xyrichtys novacula (pearly razorfish) is the source of this 4411-nucleotide non-coding RNA. NCBI's taxonomy places the organism in Eukaryota, Metazoa, Chordata, Actinopteri, Labriformes, Labridae. The record is from the annotation of a GenBank genome assembly.